CCCUUGACUCUGGGAUAAGCCUGGGAAACUGGGUCUAAUACUGGAUACGACAUGUCACCGCAUGGUGGUGUGUGGAAAGGGUUUUACUGGUUUUGGAUGGGCUCACGGCCUAUCAGCUUGUUGGUGGGGUAAUGGCUCACCAAGGCGACGACGGGUAGCCGGCCUGAGAGGGUGACCGGCCACACUGGGACUGAGACACGGCCCAGACUCCUACGGGAGGCAGCAGUGGGGAAUAUUGCACAAUGGGCGNAAGCCUGAUGCAGCGACGCCGCGUGAGGGAUGACGGCCUUCGGGUUGUAAACCUCUUUCAGCACGGAAGAAGCGAAAGUGACGGUACGUGCAGAAGAAGCGCCGGCUAACUACGUGCCAGCAGCCGCGGUAAUACGUAGGGCGCAAGCGUUGUCCGGAAUUAUUGGGCGUAAAGAGCUCGUAGGCGGUUUGUCGCGUCUGCUGUGAAAGCCCGGGGCUUAACCCCGGGUGUGCAGUGGGUACGGGCAGACUUGAGUGCAGUAGGGGAGACUGGAAUUCCUGGUGUAGCGGUGAAAUGCGCAGAUAUCAGGAGGAACACCGAUGGCGAAGGCAGGUCUCUGGGCUGUUACUGACGCUGAGGAGCGAAAGCAUGGGGAGAGCGAACAGGAUUAGAUACCCUGGUAGUCCAUGCCGUAAACGUUGGGCACUAGGUGUGGGGAACAUUCCACGUUUUCCGCGCCGUAGCUAACGCAUUAAGUGCCCCGCCUGGGGAGUACGGCCGCAAGGCUAAAACUCAAAGGAAUUGACGGGGGCCCGCACAAGCGGCGGAGCAUGCGGAUUAAUUCGAUGCAACGCGAAGAACCUUACCAAGGCUUGACAUACACCGGAGCGGGCCAGAGAUGGUCUUUCCCCCUUGUGGGGCUGGUGUACAGGUGGUGCAUGGUUGUCGUCAGCUCGUGUCGUGAGAUGUUGGGUUAAGUCCCGCAACGAGCGCAACCCUCGUUCUAUGUUGCCAGCACGUGAUGGUGGGGACUCAUAGGAGACUGCCGGGGUCAACUCGGAGGAAGGUGGGGAUGACGUCAAAUCAUCAUGCCCCUUAUGUCUUGGGCUUCACGCAUGCUACAAUGGCCAGUACAAUGGGUUGCGAUGCCGCGAGGUGGAGCUAAUCCCAAAAAGCUGGUCUCAGUUCGGAUCGUGGUCUGCAACUCGACCACGUGAAGUCGGAGUCGCUAGUAAUCGCAGAUCAGCAACGCUGCGGUGAAUACGUUCC
This 1240-nucleotide ribosomal RNA is filed under the name Kocuria sp. RNAcentral describes it as "bacterial SSU rRNA". It matches the Rfam family "Bacterial small subunit ribosomal RNA", at positions 129 to 1374 of the family's 1533-position model. Lineage: Bacteria; Bacillati; Actinomycetota; Actinomycetes; Micrococcales; Micrococcaceae. The record is from RNAcentral.